CAAUACAUUGGUGGCGACCGGCGCACGGGUGAGUAACGCGUAUGCAACCUACCUAUCAGAGGGGAAUAACCCGGCGAAAGUCGGACUAAUACCGCAUAAAACAGGGGUUCCACAUGGAAAUAUUUGUUAAAGAUUUAUCGCUGAUAGAUGGGCAUGCGUUCCAUUAGAUAGUUGGUGAGGUAACGGCUCACCAAGUCUACGAUGGAUAGGGGUUCUGAGAGGAAGGUCCCCCACACUGGUACUGAGACACGGACCAGACUCCUACGGGAGGCAGCAGUGAGGAAUAUUGGUCAAUGGGCGAGAGCCUGAACCAGCCAAGUCGCGUGAAGGAUGAAGGAUCUAUGGUUUGUAAACUUCUUUUAUAUGGGAAUAAAGUGAGGAACGUGUUCCUUUUUGUAUGUACCAUAUGAAUAAGCAUCGGCUAACUCCGUGCCAGCAGCCGCGGUAAUACGGAGGAUGCGAGCGUUAUCCGGAUUUAUUGGGUUUAAAGGGUGCGUAGGUGGUUAAUUAAGUCAGCGGUGAAAGUUUGUGGCUCAACCAUAAAAUUGCCGUUGAAACUGGUUGACUUGAGUAUAUUUGAGGUAGGCGGAAUGCGUGGUGUAGCGGUGAAAUGCAUAGAUAUCACGCAGAACUCCGAUUGCGAAGGCAGCUUAC
Molecule: ribosomal RNA, 654 nt
Filed under: uncultured Bacteroidales bacterium
Lineage: Bacteria; Pseudomonadati; Bacteroidota; Bacteroidia; Bacteroidales
Description: bacterial SSU rRNA
Rfam family: Bacterial small subunit ribosomal RNA
Source: RNAcentral